GAGGUGGGGACUUAACUAGAGGUGGUGGAGAUGGAGAAGGUGGUGGAGGUGGAGAUGGCGAUGGAGGAGGGGGGGAGUUUAUUAAAGGUGGUGGAGGACUACAAUUAGGUGGCGGAGGUGGAGUUCGCAACCAGGGAAAUGGUAUUGGAAAAGGGAAUAAAGAUGGCGGGGGAGGAUAUUUAUUAUUGCAAGGAGGAGGUGGAGAUGGAGAUUUCGAUGGAGGUGGUGGUGGGGAUGGAGAAGGUGGUGGAGGUGGAUACUUAACUGGAGGUGGUGGAGAUGGAGAAGGUGGUGGAGGUGGAGAUGGCGAUGGAGGAGGUGGUGGAGAUGGAGAAGGUGGAGGUGGAGAUGGAGAUGAAGGUGGUGGUGGAGAUGGAGAAGGUGGUGGAGGAGGUGGGGAAUUAACUAGAGGUGAUGGAGAUGGAGGAGGGGGGGAGUUUAUUAGAGGUGGUGGAGGAGUCUUACAAUUAUUAGAUGGUGGGGGUGGAGGUCGAUUAAAUGGAUAUGGUAGUGGAAAAGGGAAUAAAGAUGGUGGGGAAGGAUAUUUAUUAUAGCAUGGUGGAGGCGGAGGUAUUAAUGGAGGAAUGGGGGUCUUUAAUGGAGGUGGUGGAGAUGGAGAUGG
Molecule: long non-coding RNA, 622 nt
Organism: Solanum tuberosum (potato)
Lineage: Eukaryota; Viridiplantae; Streptophyta; Magnoliopsida; Solanales; Solanaceae
Exons: 4
Source: RefSeq, a predicted model, not a curated record